RNAcentral lists this unclassified non-coding RNA (432 nucleotides) under soil metagenome. RNAcentral's name for it is "partial contains 5.8S ribosomal RNA, internal transcribed spacer 2, and large subunit ribosomal RNA". The stretch from base 1 to 120 matches the Rfam family "5.8S ribosomal RNA", at positions 35 to 154 of the family's 154-position model. The record is from RNAcentral.
GAUGAAGAACGUAGCGAAAUGCGAUACGUAAUGUGAAUUGCAGAAUUCAGUGAAUCAUCGAAUCUUUGAACGCAUAUUGCGCUCUCUGGUAUUCCGGAGAGCAUGCUUGUUUGAGUAUCAGUAAACACCUCAACUUCCAUAUCUUUUUUGAAAUGGGAGUUGGACUUGAGUGAUCCCAACGCUUUUCCUCACCGAAAAGUGGCGGGUUACUUGAAAUGCAGGUGCAGCUGGACUUUUCUCUGAGCUAUAAGCAUAUCUAUUUAGUCUGCCUAAAAAACAGAUUAUUACCUUUGCUGCAGCUAACAUAAAGGAGAUUAGUUCUUGUGCUGACUGAUGCAGGAUUCACAAAGACGGCUUCGGCCGACUUUGUAAACUCGAUCUCAAAUCAAGUAAGACUACCCGCUGAACUUAAGCUUAUCAAUAAGCGGAGGA